RNAcentral lists this ribosomal RNA (429 nucleotides) under Chloroflexota bacterium. Its description in RNAcentral is "Chloroflexi bacterium partial 16S ribosomal RNA". It matches the Rfam family "Bacterial small subunit ribosomal RNA", at positions 355 to 776 of the family's 1533-position model. Lineage: Bacteria; Bacillati; Chloroflexota. The record is from RNAcentral.
UAGGGAAUCUUCGGCAAUGGACGAAAGUCUGACCGAGCAACGCCGCGUGAGUGAAGAAGGUUUUCGGAUCGUAAAACUCUGUUGUUAGAGAAGAACAAGGACGUUAGUAACUGAACGUCCCCUGACGGUAUCUAACCAGAAAGCCACGGCUAACUACGUGCCAGCAGCCGCGGUAAUACGUAGGUGGCAAGCGUUGUCCGGAUUUAUUGGGCGUAAAGCGAGCGCAGGCGGUUUCUUAAGUCUGAUGUGAAAGCUCCCGGCUCAACCGGGGAGGGUCAUUGGAAACUGGGAGACUUGAGUGCAGAAGAGGAGAGUGGAAUUCCAUGUGUAGCGGUGAAAUGCGUAGAUAUAUGGAGGAACACCAGUGGCGAAGGCGGCUCUCUGGUCUGUAACUGACGCUCAGGUGCGAAAGCGUGGGGAGCAAACAGG